Molecule: ribosomal RNA, 458 nt
Filed under: uncultured bacterium
Lineage: Bacteria
Description: partial 16S ribosomal RNA
Rfam family: Bacterial small subunit ribosomal RNA
Source: RNAcentral
AACGAACGCUGGCGGCAUGCCUAACACAUGCAAGUCGAACGAGACCUUCGGGUCUAGUGGCGCACGGGUGCGUAACGCGUGGGAACCUGCCCUUAGGUUCGGAAUAACUCCCCGAAAGGGGUGCUAAUACCGGAUAAUGUCUUCGGACCAAAGAUUUAUCGCCUUUGGAUGGGCCCGCGUUGGAUUAGCUAGUUGGGAGGGUAAAAGCCUACCAAGGCGGCGAUCCAUAGCUGGUCUGAGAGGAGGAUCAGCCACACUGGAACUGAGACACGGCCCAGACUCCUACGGGGGGCAGCGGUGGGGGAUACUGGACAAUGGGCGAAGGCGUGAUUAUGGCAUGAGGCGUGUGUGAAGAAGGCCUUCGGACUGUGAAGGACUUGAAGUUGGGAGGAUGGGAAGUCAUUUUACCCCGUGAUGUUAUGACGUUACCAAGAGAAUAAGCCCCGGCUAACUUCGUU